This is a long non-coding RNA of Arachis duranensis, 497 nucleotides long. RefSeq lists it as uncharacterized. NCBI's taxonomy places the organism in Eukaryota, Viridiplantae, Streptophyta, Magnoliopsida, Fabales, Fabaceae. The transcript has 3 exons. The record is from RefSeq and is a predicted model, not a curated record.
ACCUCUACCUGGAUUCGCGACUCUGUCUCUCUGCCUCGACCUCCCAUUCGUGACUCUGUCUUCACUUUGAUUCGCCUGAGUAUCUCUCUUCUUCUUUCGUCGGUGGCUCACCGGAGCUCAUCAGUUGAGAUUUUAAAUCUCUCAGUAUUGAACUCUUCAUUUCAAUGGAUCCUGCUAAUGAGGUAGCCGAUCGUGAUGUUCCCAUGUCAGAGUCUGCAGAGCAUUCGGCUUCUACAUUACCUCCUCUCCCAACCACAUCAUCUGAGCGCAAAAAUCGAUCAACAGUUUGGGACCACUUCAAGAGAACAUCUAAUGAUGAAAAUAAGGCUCAAUGUCAACACUGUUUGAAAGUGAUCAAGUGCGGGAAUGGAACAAGUGCAAUGAGAUCACAUUUAAAGAUUUGCAUCAGCAAUCCCAGUUCAGAUAGAGGCAAACGACAGAAAACAGGCACAUCGCCUAGCCCAGAAGCACAAGUGGGUAGGUUUGAUGCAGAAUAU